GUAACGCGUGGGAAUAUGCCCGGUACUAAGGAAUAGCCUUUGGAAACGAAGAGUAAUACCUUAUACGCCCUUCGGGGGAAAGAUUUAUCGGUAUCGGAUUAGCCCGCGUAAGAUUAGAUAGUUGGUGGGGUAAUGGCCUACCAAGUCUACGAUCUUUAGCUGGUUUUAGAGGAUGAUCAGCAACACUGGGACUGAGACACGGCCCAGACUCCUACGGGAGGCAGCAGUGGGGAAUCUUAGACAAUGGGCGCAAGCCUGAUCUAGCCAUGCCGCGUGAGUGAAGAAGGCCUUAGGGUCGUAAAACUCUUUCGCCAGAGAUGAUAAUGACAGUAUCUGGUAAAGAAACCCCGGCUAACUCCGUGCCAGCAGCCGCGGUAAUACGGAGGGGGUUAGCGUUGUUCGGAAUUACUGGGCGUAAAGCGCACGUAGGCGGACUGGAAAGUUGGGGGUGAAAUCCCGGGGCUCAACCUCGGAACUGCCUCCAAAACUAUCAGUCUAGAGUUCGAGAGAGGUGAGUGGAAUUCCAAGUGUAGAGGUGAAAUUCGUAGAUAUUUGGAGGAACACCAGUGGCGAAGGCGGCUCACUGGCUCGAUACUGACGCUGAGGUGCGAAAGUGUGGGGAGCAAACAGGAUUAGAUACCCUGGUAGUCCACACCGUAAACGAUGAAUGCCAGUCGUCGGCAAGUAUACUUGUCGGUGACACACCUAACGGAUUAAGCAUUCCGCCUGGGGAGUACGGUCGCAAGAUUAAAACUCAAAGGAAUUGACGGGGGCCCGCACAAGCGGUGGAGCAUGUGGUUUAAUUCGAAGC
This 811-nucleotide ribosomal RNA is filed under the name uncultured marine bacterium. RNAcentral's name for it is "bacterial SSU rRNA". It matches the Rfam family "Bacterial small subunit ribosomal RNA", at positions 110 to 957 of the family's 1533-position model. The record is from RNAcentral.